CAGCCGCCGCGGUAAUACGAAGGGUGCAAGCGUUACUCGGAAUUACUGGGCGUAAAGCGUACGUAGGUGGUGGUUUAAGUCCGUUGUGAAAGCCCUGGGCUCAACCUGGGAAUUGCAGUGGAUACUGGGUCACUAGAGUGUGGUAGAGGAUAGUGGAAUUUCCGGUGUAGCAGUGAAAUGCGUAGAGAUCGGAAGGAACAUCUGUGGCGAAGGCGACUAUCUGGGCCAACACUGACACUGAGGCACGAAAGCGUGGGGAGCAAACAGGAUUAGAUACCCCCGUAGUCCCUGUCUCUUAUAA
This 301-nucleotide ribosomal RNA is filed under the name uncultured bacterium. RNAcentral's name for it is "partial 16S ribosomal RNA". It matches the Rfam family "Bacterial small subunit ribosomal RNA", at positions 509 to 809 of the family's 1533-position model. The record is from RNAcentral.